UACGUAGGUGGCAAGCGUUGUCCGGAUUUACUGGGUGUAAAGGGCGUGUAGCCGGGCUUACAAGUCAGAUGUGAAAUCCGGGGGCUCAACCCCCGAACUGCAUUUGAAACUGUAGGUCUUGAGUAUCGGAGAGGCAGGCGGAAUUCCUAGUGUAGCGGUGAAAUGCGUAGAUAUUAGGAAGAACACCAGUGGCGAAGGCGGAUGACUGGACGGCAACUGACGGUGAGGCGCGAAAGCGUGGGGAGCAAACAGG
This 253-nucleotide ribosomal RNA is filed under the name uncultured bacterium. RNAcentral describes it as "partial 16S ribosomal RNA". It matches the Rfam family "Bacterial small subunit ribosomal RNA", at positions 524 to 776 of the family's 1533-position model. The record is from RNAcentral.